This 1313-nucleotide ribosomal RNA is filed under the name Bacillus sp. (in: firmicutes). Its description in RNAcentral is "bacterial SSU rRNA". It matches the Rfam family "Bacterial small subunit ribosomal RNA", at positions 56 to 1352 of the family's 1533-position model. The record is from RNAcentral. Lineage: Bacteria; Bacillati; Bacillota; Bacilli; Caryophanales; Bacillaceae.
UGCAGUCGAGCGGACAGAUGGGAGCUUGCUCCCUGAUGUUAGCGGCGGACGGGUGAGUAACACGUGGGUAACCUGCCUGUAAGACUGGGAUAACUCCGGGAAACCGGGGCUAAUACCGGAUGGUUGUUUGAACCGCAUGGUUCAGACAUAAAAGGUGGCUUCGGCUACCACUUACAGAUGGACCCGCGGCGCAUUAGCUAGUUGGUGAGGUAACGGCUCACCAAGGCGACGAUGCGUAGCCGACCUGAGAGGGUGAUCGGCCACACUGGGACUGAGACACGGCCCAGACUCCUACGGGAGGCAGCAGUAGGGAAUCUUCCGCAAUGGACGAAAGUCUGACGGAGCAACGCCGCGUGAGUGAUGAAGGUUUUCGGAUCGUAAAGUUCUGUUGUUAGGGAAGAACAAGUGCCGUUCAAAUAGGGCGGCACCUUGACGGUACCUAACCAGAAAGCCACGGCUAACUACGUGCCAGCAGCCGCGGUAAUACGUAGGUGGCAAGCGUUGUCCGGAAUUAUUGGGCGUAAAGGGCUCGCAGGCGGUUUCUUAAGUUUGAUGUGAAAGCCCCCGGCUCAACCGGGGAGGGUCAUUGGAAACUGGGGAACUUGAGUGCAGAAGAGGAGAGUGGAAUUCCACGUGUAGCGGUGAAAUGCGUAGAGAUGUGGAGGAACACCAGUGGCGAAGGCGACUCUCUGGUCUGUAACUGACGCUGAGGAGCGAAAGCGUGGGGAGCGAACAGGAUUAGAUACCCUGGUAGUCCACGCCGUAAACGAUGAGUGCUAAGUGUUAGGGGGUUUCCGCCCCUUAGUGCUGCAGCUAACGCAUUAAGCACUCCGCCUGGGGAGUACGGUCGCAAGACUGAAACUCAAAGGAAUUGACGGGGGCCCGCACAAGCGGUGGAGCAUGUGGUUUAAUUCGAAGCAACGCGAAGAACCUUACCAGGUCUUGACAUCCUCUGACAAUCCUAGAGAUAGGACGUCCCCUUCGGGGGCAGAGUGACAGGUGGUGCAUGGUUGUCGUCAGCUCGUGUCGUGAGAUGUUGGGUUAAGUCCCGCAACGAGCGCAACCCUUGAUCUUAGUUGCCAGCAUUCAGUUGGGCACUCUAAGGUGACUGCCGGUGACAAACCGGAGGAAGGUGGGGAUGACGUCAAAUCAUCAUGCCCCUUAUGACCUGGGCUACACACGUGCUACAAUGGACAGAACAAAGGGCAGCGAAACCGCGAGGUUAAGCCAAUCCCACAAAUCUGUUCUCAGUUCGGAUCGCAGUCUGCAACUCGACUGCGUGAAGCUGGAAUCGCUAGUAAUCGCGGAUCCAG